This 526-nucleotide ribosomal RNA is filed under the name uncultured bacterium. Its description in RNAcentral is "bacterial SSU rRNA". It matches the Rfam family "Bacterial small subunit ribosomal RNA", at positions 355 to 896 of the family's 1533-position model. The record is from RNAcentral.
UGGGGAAUCUUGCACAAUGGGCGAAAGCCUGAUGCAGCAACGCCGCGUGCGGGAAGACAGCCCUAGGGUUGUAAACCGCUUUCAGCAGGGAAGAAACUGACGGUACCUGCAGAAGAAGAUGCGGCCAACUACGUGCCAGCAGCCGCGGUGACACGUAGGCAUCAAGCGUUAUCCGGAUUUAUUGGGCGUAAAGAGCUCGUAGGCGGUUCGGUAAGUCGGGUGUGAAAACUCUGGGCUCAACCCAGAGAGGCCACUCGAUACUGCUGUGACUAGAGUGCGGUAGGGGAGCGGGGAAUUCCUGGUGUAGCGGUGAAAUGCGUAGAUAUGUGGAGGAAUACCGGUGGCGAAGGCGGCCUCCUGGCUCGAUACUGACGCUGAGGUGCGAAAAGCGUGGGGAGCAAAACAGGAUUAGAUACCCUGGUAGUCCACGCUGUAAACGAUGGGUACUCGGUGUUGCGGUGUUGACCCCUGCAAUGCCUUAGCUAACGCGUUAAGUACCCCGCCUGGGAGUACGGUCGCAAGGCUG